This 1346-nucleotide ribosomal RNA is filed under the name uncultured bacterium. RNAcentral's name for it is "bacterial SSU rRNA". It matches the Rfam family "Bacterial small subunit ribosomal RNA", at positions 28 to 1381 of the family's 1533-position model. The record is from RNAcentral.
GACGAACGCUUGCGGCGUGCUUAACACAUGCAAGUCGAACGGAAAGGCCCUGCUUUUGUGGGGUGCUCGAGUGGCGAACGGGUGAGUAACACGUGAGUAACCUGCCCUUGACUUUGGGAUAACUUCAGGAAACUGGGGCUAAUACCGGAUAGGAGCUCCUGCUGCAUGGUGGGGGUUGGAAAGUUUCGGCGGUUGGGGAUGGACUCGCGGCUUAUCAGCUUGUUGGUGGGGUAGUGGCUUACCAAGGCUUUGACGGGUAGCCGGCCUGAGAGGGUGACCGGCCACAUUGGGACUGAGAUACGGCCCAGACUCCUACGGGAGGCAGCAGUGGGGAAUAUUGCACAAUGGGCGGAAGCCUGAUGCAGCAACGCCGCGUGCGGGGUGACGGCCUUCGGGUUGUAAACCGCUUUCGCCUGUGACGAAGCGUGAGUGACGGUAAUGGGUAAAGAAGCACCGGCUAACUACGUGCCAGCAGCCGCGGUGAUACGUAGGGUGCGAGCGUUGUCCGGAUUUAUUGGGCGUAAAGGGCUCGUAGGUGGUUGAUCGCGUCGGAAGUGUAAUCUUGGGGCUUAACCCUGAGCGUGCUUUCGAUACGGGUUGACUUGAGGAAGGUAGGGGAGAAUGGAAUUCCUGGUGGAGCGGUGGAAUGCGCAGAUAUCAGGAGGAACACCAGUGGCGAAGGCGGUUCUCUGGGCCUUUCCUGACGCUGAGGAGCGAAAGCGUGGGGAGCGAACAGGCUUAGAUACCCUGGUAGUCCACGCUGUAAACGGUGGGUACUAGGUGUGGGGUCCAUUCCACGGGUUCCGUGCCGUAGCUAACGCUUUAAGUACCCCGCCUGGGGAGUACGGCCGCAAGGCUAAAACUCAAAGGAAUUGACGGGGCCCCGCACAAGCGGCGGAGCAUGCGGAUUAAUUCGAUGCAACGCGUAGAACCUUACCUGGGUUUGACAUGGAUCGGGAGUGCUCAGAGAUGGGUGUGCCUCUUUUGGGGUCGGUUCACAGGUGGUGCAUGCCUGUCGUCAGCUCGUGUCGUGAGAUGUUGGGUUAAGUCCCGCAACGAGCGCAACCCUUGUUCACUGUUGCCAGCACGUUAUGGUGGGGACUCAGUGGAGACCGCCGGGGUCAACUCGGAGGAAGGUGGGGAUGACGUCAAGUCCUCAUGCCCCUUAUGUCCAGGGCUUCACGCAUGCUACAAUGGCUGGUACAGAGAGUGGCGAGCCUGUGAGGGUGAGCGAAUCUCGGAAAGCCGGUCUCAGUUCGGAUUGGGGUCUGCAACUCGACCUCAUGAAGUCGGAGUCGCUAGUAAUCGCAGAUCAGCAACGCUGCGGUGAAUACGUUCCCGGGGCU